UACGUAGGGGGCUAGCGUUAUCCGGAAUUACUGGGCGUAAAGGGUGCGUAGGCGGUCUUUCAAGCCAGAAGUGAAAGGCUACGGCUCAACCGUAGUAAGCUUUUGGAACUGUAAGACUUGAGUGCAGGAGAGGAGAGUGGAAUUCCUAGUGUAGCGGUGAAAUGCGUAGAUAUUAGGAGGAACACCAGUAGCGAAGGCGGCUCUCUGGACUGUAACUGACGCUGAGGCACGAAAGCGUGGGGAGCGAACAGG
This 252-nucleotide ribosomal RNA is filed under the name uncultured bacterium. RNAcentral describes it as "partial 16S ribosomal RNA". It matches the Rfam family "Bacterial small subunit ribosomal RNA", at positions 524 to 776 of the family's 1533-position model. The record is from RNAcentral.